RNAcentral lists this ribosomal RNA (957 nucleotides) under Hypoxylon endophyticum. RNAcentral's name for it is "Hypoxylon sp. XVM-2021a partial large subunit ribosomal RNA". The record is from RNAcentral. Lineage: Eukaryota; Fungi; Ascomycota; Sordariomycetes; Xylariales; Hypoxylaceae.
CCUACCCUAUAUAUAGCUCCUUCGACGAGUUCGAGUAGUUUGGGAAUGCUGCUCUAAAUGGGAGGUAAAKUUCUUCUAARGCUAAAUACCGGCCAGAGACCGAUAGCGCACAAGUAGAGUGAUCGAAAGAUGAAAAGCACUUUGAAAAGAGGGUUAAAUAGCACGUGAAAUUGUUGAAAGGGAAGCGUUUGCGACCAGACCUUUUCCAGGGGGAUCAUCCGGUGUUCUCACCGGUGCACUUCCCCUGGUUUAGGCCCAGCAUCGGUUUUCUUAGGGGGAUAAAGGCUUAGGGAACGUGGCUCUUUCGGGAGUGUUAUAGCCCUUUUGCGUAAUACCCCUCGGGGGACCGAGGACCGCGCUCUGCAAGGAUGCUGGCGUAAUGGUCGUCAACGACCCGUCUUGAAACACGGACCAAGGAGUCGAACAUUUGUGCGAGUGUUUGGGUGUUAAACCCUCACGCGUAAUGAAAGUGAACGGAGGUGAGAGCCCUUACGGGUGCAUCAUCGACCGAUCCUGAUGUCUUCGGAUGGAUUUGAGUAAGAGCAUAACUGUUCGGACCCGAAAGAUGGUGAACUAUGCGUGGAUAGGGUGAAGCCAGAGGAAACUCUGGUGGAGGCUCGCAGCGGUUCUGACGUGCAAAUCGAUCGUCAAAUCUGCGCAUGGGGGCGAAAGACUUAUCGAACCAUUGAAACCAGCGGUAAAAUUUCAUUUACUAGGUGGUUAAGAGGUCCCCUGGGAGGGGGGCCUAGGUUUAUGUGCCAGUUUACCCUAUAGUUACCCUAUAGUUACCCUGGAGCUACCCUAUACCUACCCUGGAGCUACCCUGUAGCUACCCUGGARGAGGGGGUGCCCCGGAGUGCUGGCGCGGCCGACACCGCUAAAUUGCGSGAAAGUCCUAUAUAAGGCCGCAGSCUACSGCCKGGCGCUGAAAAGCGCCCUGGCACCAAGAAUAGCGCU